GCAAGUCGAGCGAAGACUUCGGUCUUAGCGGCGGACGGGUGAGUAACGCGUGGGAACGUACCUUUCUCUACGGAACAGUCCCGGGAAACUGGGUUUAAUACCGUAUACGCCCUUCGGGGGAAAGAUUUAUCGGAGAGAGAUCGGCCCGCGUUAGAUUAGAUAGUUGGUGGGGUAAUGGCCUACCAAGUCUACGAUCUAUAGCUGGUUUGAGAGGAUGAUC
This 220-nucleotide ribosomal RNA is filed under the name uncultured bacterium. RNAcentral describes it as "partial 16S ribosomal RNA". It matches the Rfam family "Bacterial small subunit ribosomal RNA", at positions 57 to 305 of the family's 1533-position model. The record is from RNAcentral.